Molecule: ribosomal RNA, 529 nt
Filed under: uncultured bacterium
Lineage: Bacteria
Description: bacterial SSU rRNA
Rfam family: Bacterial small subunit ribosomal RNA
Source: RNAcentral
UUGACAUCCAGCGAACUUUCCAGAGAUGGAUUGGUGCCUUCGGGAACGCUGAGACAGGUGCUGCAUGGCUGUCGUCAGCUCGUGUUGUGAAAUGUUGGGUUAAGUCCCGNAACGAGCGCAACCCUUUAUCCUUUGUUGCCAGCGAUUCGGUCGGGAACUCAAAGGAGACUGCCGGUGAUAAACCGGAGGAAGGUGGGGAUGACGUCAAGUCAUCAUGGCCCUUACGAGUAGGGCUACACACGUGCUACAAUGGCGCAUACAAAGAGAAGCGACCUCGCGAGAGCAAGCGGACCUCAUAAAGUGCGUCGUAGUCCGGAUCGGAGUCUGCAACUCGACUCCGUGAAGUCGGAAUCGCUAGUAAUCGUGGAUCAGAAUGCCACGGUGAAUACGUUCCCGGGCCUUGUACACACCGCCCGUCACACCAUGGGAGUGGGUUGCAAAAGAAGUAGGUAGCUUAACCUUCGGGAGGGCGCUUACCACUUUGUGAUUCAUGACUGGGGUGAAGUCGUAACAAGGUAAGCGUAGCGAG